UGGGGAAUAUUGCACAAUGGGCGCAAGCCUGAUGCAGCGACGCCGCGUGGGGGAUGACGGCCUUCGGGUUGUAAACCUCUUUCAGUAUCGGCGAAGCUUGCGGGUUUUCUCGCAGGUGACGGUAGGUACAGAAGAAGCACCGGCCAACUACGUGCCAGCAGCCGCGGUAAUACGUAGGGUGCGAGCGUUGUCCGGAAUUACUGGGCGUAAAGAGCUCGUAGGUGGUUUGUCGCGUUGUCCGUGAAAACUCACAGCUCAACUGUGGGCGUGCGGGCGAUACGGGCAGACUGGAGUACUGUAGGGGAGACUGGAAUUCCUGGUGUAGCGGUGGAAUGCGCAGAUAUCAGGAGGAACACCGGUGGCGAAGGCGGGUCUCUGGGCAGUAACUGACGCUGAGGAGCGAAAGCAUGGGGAGCGAACA
Molecule: ribosomal RNA, 421 nt
Filed under: uncultured bacterium
Lineage: Bacteria
Description: bacterial SSU rRNA
Rfam family: Bacterial small subunit ribosomal RNA
Source: RNAcentral